RNAcentral lists this ribosomal RNA (186 nucleotides) under uncultured bacterium. RNAcentral describes it as "partial 16S ribosomal RNA". It matches the Rfam family "Bacterial small subunit ribosomal RNA", at positions 1315 to 1500 of the family's 1533-position model. The record is from RNAcentral.
CCUGCAUGAAGUCGGAAUUGCUAGUAAUCGCAGAUCAGCAUGCUGCGGUGAAUACGUUCCCGGGCCUUGUACACACCGCCCGUCACACCAUGGGAGUCGGAAAUGCCCGAAGUCAGUGACCCAACCGUAAGGAGGGAGCUGCCGAAGGUGGAGCCGGUAACUGGGGUGAAGUCGUAACAAGGUAUC